Passer domesticus (house sparrow) is the source of this 1751-nucleotide long non-coding RNA. RefSeq lists it as uncharacterized. Lineage: Eukaryota; Metazoa; Chordata; Aves; Passeriformes; Passeridae. The transcript has 3 exons. The record is from RefSeq and is a predicted model, not a curated record.
GGUGUGUUCAGGUGUGCACAGGUGUGUACAGGUGUGUACAGGUGUGUGCAGGUGAUCAGAGCUUACAGUACAUGCUUUGUGCAGGUGUGUACAGGUGUGUGCAGUGCACACCUGUACCUGUGUGUGCACAGGUGUGCACAGGUGUGCACAGGUAAACACAGGCGCACACCGGCACACACAGGUGCGUACAAGGGCGUGCAGUGUGCUCAGGUGUGUGCAAGGUGCUACAGGUGUGUGCAGGUGUGUGCAGGUGUGUGCGGUGAGUACAGGUGUGAGCAGGUGUGUGCAGGUGUGUACAAGUGUGGACAGGUGUGCACAGGUGUGUACAGGUGUGUGAAGGUGUGUGCAGCGAGUACAGGUGUGUGCAGGUGUGCCCAGGUGUGUGCAGGUGAGCUGAGCUUACAGUAAGUGUUGUGUACAGGCGUGUGCAGGUGUGCACAGGUGUUUACAGGUGUGGACAGAUGUGUGCAGGUGUGUGCAGGUGUGUGCAGGUGUGUGCAGGUGGUCGAGGUGUGUGCAGCGAGUACAGGUGUGCACAGGUGUGUGAAUGUUGUGUGCAGCUGUGCGCAGGUGUGUGCAGGUGCUCACAGGUGCUCACAGGUGCACACAGGUGUGCGCAGGGUGUGUGCAGCGAGUACAGGUGUGCACAGGUGUGUACAGGUGUGUUCAGGUGUGUACAGGUGUGUGCAGGUGUGUGCAGGUGCUCACAGGUGUGUGUAACUGUGUCCAGGUGUGCACAGGUGUGUGCAGGUGUGCACAGGUGCUCACAGGUGUGUACAUGUGUGUGUGUAAGCAUGCACAGGUGUGUCCAGGUGUGUGCAGGUGUGUGCAGGUGUGCACAGGUGUGUACAGCUGUGUGUGCAGGUGUGCACAGGUGUGUGCAGGUGUGUGCAGGUGUGCAUGCAGGUGCUCACAGGUGCACACAGGUGUGUGUAACUGUGUCCAGGUGUGCACAGGUGUGCACAGGUGUGCGCAGGUGUGUGCAGGUGUGUGCAGCAAGUACAGGUGUGCACAGGUGUGUUCAGGUGUGUACAGGUGUGUGCAGGUGUGUUCAGGUGUGUACAGGUGUGUACAGGUGUGUGUUCAGGUGCUCACAGGUGCUCACAGGUGUGUGUAACUGUGUACAGGUGCACACAGGUGCACACAGGUGUGCGCAGGUGUGUGCAGGUGCUCACAGGUGUGUGCAGGUGCUCACAGGUACCAUCCCCUCCCCCCCACGCCCCCUCCUCCCACCCCCCUGCGGUCCCUCUGCGUCCUGGGCGAGUCCUGUGACGGGGGCGUGUCCUGGGCGUGUCCUGGGCGUGUCCUGGGCGUGUCCAGGUGACCUGGGCGUGUCCCGGGCGUGUCCAGUUGUGUCCUGGGCGUCGCCAGGUGUGUCCAGGUGUGUCCAGAGCGUGUCCAGGUGUGUCCUGGGUGUCUCCCGGGCGUGUCCUGGUGACCUGGGCGUGUCAAGAUGUCCUGGGCGUGUCCUGGACAUGUUCAGGCGUGUUCAGGUGUGUCCAGGUGUGUCCAGGUGUCUCCUGGGCGUGUCCUGGGCGUGACCAGGUGUGUCCUGGGCAUCUCCAGGUGACCUGGGCACGUCCAGGUGUGCCCAGGUGCAUCCAGGUGUCUCCUGGGCGUGUCCUGGUGACCUGGGUGUGUCCUGGGCGUGUCCUGGGCGUGUCCUGGUGUGUCCAGGCGUGUCCCGAGUGUGUCCGGGUGCCGUGGGCGUGUCCUGGGCGUGUCCAGGCGUGUCCAGGCGUGUCCUGGGC